The sequence is a transfer RNA, 72 nucleotides long. It matches the Rfam family "tRNA". Rfam says of the family: Transfer RNA (tRNA) molecules are approximately 80 nucleotides in length. Their secondary structure includes four short double-helical elements and three loops (D, anti-codon, and T loops). Further hydrogen bonds mediate the characteristic L-shaped molecular structure. tRNAs have two regions of fundamental functional importance: the anti-codon, which is responsible for specific mRNA codon recognition, and the 3' end, to which the tRNAs corresponding amino acid is attached (by aminoacyl-tRNA synthetases). tRNAs cope with the degeneracy of the genetic code in two manners: having more than one tRNA (with a specific anti-codon) for a particular amino acid; and 'wobble' base-pairing, i.e. permitting non-standard base-pairing at the 3rd anti-codon position. The record is from Rfam.
ACUUAUAUAGCUUAAUGGCUAAAGCAUUUGUCUCAUAAACAAAUAAUAUAGGUUCGAUUCCUUUUAUAAGUA